Molecule: ribosomal RNA, 465 nt
Filed under: uncultured bacterium
Lineage: Bacteria
Description: SSU rRNA
Rfam family: Bacterial small subunit ribosomal RNA
Source: RNAcentral
AGCCUGAACGCUGGCGGCGUGGCUAAGACAUGCAAGUCGUACGGGUGUAGCAAUACACCAGUGGCGGACGGGUGAGUAAUGUAUCGCUAACGUACCCCGGACUCUGGGAUAGCUGCCCGAAAAGGGCAGGUAAUACCAGAUGACAUAUCCUUAUCGCAUGAUGAGGAUCUCAAAGGGAAACCGUUCUGGGAGCGGGCGAUAUCGUAUCAGCUAGUUGGUAGGGUAACGGCCUACCAAGGCGACGACGCGUAGCCGGACUGAGAGGUUGGCCGGCCACAUUGGGACUGAGACACUGCCCAGACUCCUACGGGGGGCUGCAGUAACGAAUCUUCCGCAAUGCACGCAAGUGUGACGGAGCGACGCCGCGUGUGGGACGAAGUCCUUCGGGAUGUAAACCACUGUCAGGGGUUAGAAAGUUCUGAUCAACCCCAGAGGAAGGCACGGCUAACUCUGCGCCAGCAGCCG